Molecule: long non-coding RNA, 503 nt
Filed under: Homo sapiens (human)
Lineage: Eukaryota; Metazoa; Chordata; Mammalia; Primates; Hominidae
Description: HSALNT0019484
Source: RNAcentral
UGGACAUCCCUGUCUUGUGCCAGUUCUUAGGGUGAAUUUUGCCAACCUUUGUCCAUUCAAUAUGAUGUUGGCUGUGGAUUUGUCAUAAAUGUAUUAUUUUGAGGUUUUGUUAUGACUGAUUUGAUUAGAAGUAACAGAUUGAGUCUGGUUGAGAAGAAAGAGAAAUUUAAUAUUGCCAUGCAAGAUUGUUGUAUCCUUGGAUCACAUACAAAAAAGUAAGAUAGAGCUCAAAACUGGAAUGUCACGAGUAUCAUAGAGACCCAUUUGUGUAGUCCCUAGAAAAGAGACUCUAUCUCUGCAUAUGGACCCUAUCUUUGUAUUUCUUAUAAAUCUUGUAUUUUCAUGGCUCAGUUUUUCUCAUCAACUGUGAAAUUGAAAUCUGCAAGUUUAUCUGAUUGAGAGCUUCAUGGUAUUAUGUAUUUCCUUCUGCUCAUUUGAACAUCUUCAAGUGGAGAGAAAUCUUCAAGAAUUCUUGAGAAAAACCUUUCUCCAGUUUCAAAAAU